Molecule: ribosomal RNA, 254 nt
Filed under: uncultured bacterium
Lineage: Bacteria
Description: partial 16S ribosomal RNA
Rfam family: Bacterial small subunit ribosomal RNA
Source: RNAcentral
UACGGGGGGAGCAAGCGUUGUUCGGAUUUACUGGGCGUAAAGGGCGCGUAGGCGGUCAGCACAAGUCAGUUGUGAAAUCUCCGGGCUUAACUCGGAAAGGUCAACUGAUACUGUGCGACUAGAGUGCGGAAGGGGCAACUGGAAUUCUCGGUGUAGCGGUGAAAUGCUUAGAUAUGACACAGAACACCUAUUGCGAAGGCAGCUUGCUACACUGUGAUUGACACUGAGGCACGAAAGCGUGGGGAUCAAACAGG